UACGUAGGUGGCAAGCGUUAUCCGGAUUUAUUGGGCGUAAAGGGAACGCAGGCGGUCUUUUAAGUCUGAUGUGAAAGCCUUCGGCUUAACCGCAGUAGUGCAUUGGAAACUGGGAGACUUGAGUGCAGAAGAGGAGAGUGGAACUCCAUGUGUAGCGGUGAAAUGCGUAGAUAUAUGGAAGAACACCAGUGGCGAAAGCGGCUCUCUGGUCUGUAACUGACGCUGAGGUUCGAAAGCGUGGGUAGCAAACAGG
Molecule: ribosomal RNA, 253 nt
Filed under: uncultured bacterium
Lineage: Bacteria
Description: partial 16S ribosomal RNA
Rfam family: Bacterial small subunit ribosomal RNA
Source: RNAcentral